UGCAGUUUCAGGCUUUUCCCAACUACAUCUAUUAAUAUUUAUUUUAACGUCGUAUUAAAGUUGAAGUUUGGAAAAUUUUGGUUUUGCA
This is a non-coding RNA of Drosophila simulans, 88 nucleotides long. The record is from Rfam. Lineage: Eukaryota; Metazoa; Arthropoda; Insecta; Diptera; Drosophilidae.